Ictidomys tridecemlineatus (thirteen-lined ground squirrel) is the source of this 514-nucleotide non-coding RNA. The record is from RefSeq and is a predicted model, not a curated record. NCBI's taxonomy places the organism in Eukaryota, Metazoa, Chordata, Mammalia, Rodentia, Sciuridae.
CCACUUGGCAAGGUACCGCUCUGGCAGAAUCACAAACCUGGUGAAAGCAAGGGAAACGAGGCCUUGGGACUGAGGCUGUUGAUUGUAAGACAACUAAGGAUAUCUUGAACCAAGAAGAACUCAAGGAAGCAAAUGGAGUUGUUACCUUUGAGGGGCCAGAGUGUCAUGGAUUCACACUACCAACUUGUCCUGGUGACUUAUGUGGGUGAAACAGAUCAAGAGAACUGAGGCCACUUUUACAAGGGCACUGAUCCCAUUCAUGAGGGCUCCAUUAAUGUCACCUAAUCACCCCAACUCCCCACCCCAUACCGUACCAUCAUUUUGGGGGGUCAGGAUUUCAACAUAUGAAGCUCUUUUAUCAUCUCUUUGUAGAAUACUGGUUUUAUUAUGUUAUAUACCAUAUCUUAAAUAGAGAACUAGCAAUAUAUCUCAAACAUUCCUCUGACAUAGUCACUUUUUUAAAAACUAUGGGAUGUCUAAGAAUGCAUAAAAUUUGUGGUUUUUACACACUUGU